RNAcentral lists this ribosomal RNA (794 nucleotides) under uncultured organism. Its description in RNAcentral is "SSU rRNA". It matches the Rfam family "Bacterial small subunit ribosomal RNA", at positions 28 to 804 of the family's 1533-position model. The record is from RNAcentral.
GAUGAACGCUGGCGGCGUGCCUAAUACAUGCAAGUCGAGCGAACAGACGAGGAGCUUGCUCCUCUGACGUUAGCGGCGGACGGGUGAGUAACACGUGGAUAACCUACCUAUAAGACUGGGAUAACUUCGGGAAACCGGGGCUAAUACCAGAUAACAUGUUGAACCGCAUGGUUCAACAGUGAAAGACGGUCUUGCUGUCACUUAUAGAUGGAUCAGCGCCGCAUUAGCUAGUUGGUAAGGUAACGGCUUACCAAGGCAACGAUGCGUAGCCGACCUGAGAGGGUGAUCGGCCACACUGGAACUGAGACACGGUCCAGACUCCUACGGGAGGCAGCAGUAGGGAAUCUUCCGCAAUGGGCGAAAGCCUGACGGAGCAACGCCGCGUGAGUGAUGAAGGUCUUCGGAUCGUAAAACUCUGUUAUUAGGGAAGAACAAAUGUGUAAGUAACUAUGCACGUCUUGACGGCACCUAAUCAGAAAGCCACGGCUAACUACGUGCCAGCAGCCGCGGUAAUACGUAGGUGGCAAGCGUUAUCCGGAAUUAUUGGGCGUAAAGCGCGCGUAGGCGGUUUUUUAAGUCUGAUGUGAAAGCCCACGGCUCAACCGUGGAGGGUCAUUGGAAACUGGAAAACUUGAGUGCAGAAGAGGAAAGUGGAAUUCCAUGUGUAGCGGUGAAAUGCGCAGAGAUAUGGAGGAACACCAGUGGCGAAGGCGACUUUCUGGUCUGUAACUGACGCUGAUGUGCGAAAGCGUGGGGAUCAAACAGGAUUAGAUACCCUGGUAGUCCACGCCGUA